AUUGAACGCUUGCGGAAUGCUUUACACAUGCAAGUCGAACGGCAGCAUAGGUGCUUGCACCUGAUGGCGAGUGGCGAACGGGGGAGUAAUACAUCGGAACGUGCCCAGUCGUGGGGGAUAACGUAGCGAAAGUUACGCUACUACCGCAUAACCUCUACGGAUGAAAGCGGGGGACCGUAAGGCCCCGCGCGAUUGGAGCGGCCGAGGUCAGAUUAGGUAGUUGAUGGGGUAAAGGCCCACCAAGCCAACAAUCUGUAGCUGGUCUGAGAGGACGACCAGCCGCACAGGGACUGAGACACGGCCCAGACUCCUACGGGAGGAAGCAGUGGGGAAUUUUGGACAAUGGGCGCAAGCCUGAUCCAGCCAUUCCGCGUGCAGGAUGAAGGCCUUCGGGUUGUAAACUGCUUUUGUACGGAACGAAAAGCUCUGGGUUAAUACCCCGGGGUCAUGACGGUACCGUAAGAAUAAGCACCGGCUAACUACGUGCCAGCCGCCGCCGUAA
This 502-nucleotide ribosomal RNA is filed under the name uncultured bacterium. Its description in RNAcentral is "partial 16S ribosomal RNA". It matches the Rfam family "Bacterial small subunit ribosomal RNA", at positions 30 to 523 of the family's 1533-position model. The record is from RNAcentral.